This is a transfer RNA of Aspergillus terreus NIH2624, 72 nucleotides long. It matches the Rfam family "tRNA". Rfam says of the family: Transfer RNA (tRNA) molecules are approximately 80 nucleotides in length. Their secondary structure includes four short double-helical elements and three loops (D, anti-codon, and T loops). Further hydrogen bonds mediate the characteristic L-shaped molecular structure. tRNAs have two regions of fundamental functional importance: the anti-codon, which is responsible for specific mRNA codon recognition, and the 3' end, to which the tRNAs corresponding amino acid is attached (by aminoacyl-tRNA synthetases). tRNAs cope with the degeneracy of the genetic code in two manners: having more than one tRNA (with a specific anti-codon) for a particular amino acid; and 'wobble' base-pairing, i.e. permitting non-standard base-pairing at the 3rd anti-codon position. NCBI's taxonomy places the organism in Eukaryota, Fungi, Ascomycota, Eurotiomycetes, Eurotiales, Aspergillaceae. The record is from Rfam.
GGGGAUGUGGUCUAGUGGUAUGACAUUUCAUUUGCAUUGAAAGGGUCCCGCGUUCGAUCCGCGGCAUCUCCA